This 72-nucleotide transfer RNA is filed under the name Bos taurus (domestic cattle). It matches the Rfam family "tRNA". Rfam says of the family: Transfer RNA (tRNA) molecules are approximately 80 nucleotides in length. Their secondary structure includes four short double-helical elements and three loops (D, anti-codon, and T loops). The record is from Rfam by way of RNAcentral. Lineage: Eukaryota; Metazoa; Chordata; Mammalia; Artiodactyla; Bovidae. RNAcentral also lists the same sequence under 1 other name.
UCCCUGCUGGCUCAGAUGGUAAAGCGUCUGUCUACAAUGCAGGAGACCUGGGUUCAAUCCCUGGAUUGGGAA